UUCUCAUCGAGAGCGGCGGAGGGACUGGCCCUAUGAAGCCCGGCAACCGAUGUGACCGUACCAAACUACGGCGCACUGGCGGUGCUAAAUCCUGCGGACAAAAGCACGUCCGAUAGAUGAGAA
RNAcentral lists this non-coding RNA (123 nucleotides) under Alicyclobacillus acidoterrestris. RNAcentral describes it as "SAM-I sequence". It matches the Rfam family "SAM riboswitch aptamer (S box leader)". Rfam says of the family: The SAM riboswitch is found upstream of a number of genes which code for proteins involved in methionine or cysteine biosynthesis in Gram-positive bacteria. The SAM riboswitch acts at the level of transcription termination control. Lineage: Bacteria; Bacillati; Bacillota; Bacilli; Caryophanales; Alicyclobacillaceae. RNAcentral also lists the same sequence under 1 other name. The record is from RNAcentral.